RNAcentral lists this ribosomal RNA (396 nucleotides) under uncultured bacterium. RNAcentral describes it as "partial 16S ribosomal RNA". It matches the Rfam family "Bacterial small subunit ribosomal RNA", at positions 523 to 918 of the family's 1533-position model. The record is from RNAcentral.
AUACGUAGGUGGCAAGCGUUGUCCGGAAUUAUUGGGCGUAAAGCGCAUGUAGGCGGUUUGGUAAGUCGGUCGUGAAAAUGCGGUGCUUAACGCCGUAUGGCGAUCGAAGCUGCUGAACUUGAGUGCAGGAGAGGAAAGGGGAACUCCCAGUGUAGCGGUGAAAUGCGUAGAUAUUGGGAAGAACACCGGUGGCGAAGGCGCCUUUCUGGACUGUGUCUGACGCUCAGAUGCGAAAGCCAGGGUAGCGAACGGGAUUAGAUACCCCGGUAGUCCUGGCCGUAAACGAUGGGUACUAGGUGUGGGAGGUAUCGACUCCUUCCGUGCCGGAGUUAACGCAAUAAGUACCCCGCCUGGGGAGUACGGCCGCAAGGCUUAAACUCAAAGGAAUUGACGGGG